Long non-coding RNA from Seriola aureovittata, 479 nucleotides. RefSeq lists it as uncharacterized. Lineage: Eukaryota; Metazoa; Chordata; Actinopteri; Carangiformes; Carangidae. The transcript is spliced from 4 exons. The record is from RefSeq and is a predicted model, not a curated record.
UUAGCGUACAAACAGAGGUGCCACUUUAUUUGGAUCAUCAGGCUCCUGUUGAGGGAUAUCAAUACAAAGCUCCUGCAGUAUUAAGCUACCGAGCUACUGAACCUAAAGGUUGUUGACGGCGUUGAUUCAACUUUAUGGACAGUUUGGAGGCUGUACUGAGGGAACCCAGAUGUUGCCGUGGGUGUCGGGAGCCUGGCUGUAAGGAAUGUUCCAGAUCCAAGGCUGAUCUGAAAUCGGAGAGAAAAGAGGCAGAAGGCACGUAGAGGACUCCCAGCUCAUAUGAACGGACCAUCACCUGAGUGUUGUUCUUCUCCAGGGCGCCCCACGCUGCUUUGGACAGCAUUUGAAUGCUGCAUCACACAAGCAAAAAACAACAUCAAGUUCGUGCUGGAGGAACAUACCAAGUGCACGAGGGGGUCUGAACGAAGAGAGGAUUUCCCUAGGGUGGUCAAGGUGCGCUGAAAUUCCCUUGCCAACCA